GGGCCUUUAGCUCAGCUGGCAGAGCACUGCGUUUACACCGCAGGUGUCGUCGGUUCGAUCCCGGCAGGGCCCA
This 73-nucleotide transfer RNA is filed under the name Kocuria palustris. RNAcentral's name for it is "tRNA-Val". It matches the Rfam family "tRNA". From Rfam's summary of the family: Transfer RNA (tRNA) molecules are approximately 80 nucleotides in length. The record is from RNAcentral. RNAcentral also lists the same sequence under 5 other names. Lineage: Bacteria; Bacillati; Actinomycetota; Actinomycetes; Micrococcales; Micrococcaceae.